Rosa chinensis is the source of this 740-nucleotide long non-coding RNA. RefSeq lists it as uncharacterized. The record is from RefSeq and is a predicted model, not a curated record. Lineage: Eukaryota; Viridiplantae; Streptophyta; Magnoliopsida; Rosales; Rosaceae. The transcript is spliced from 2 exons.
GAUUUGGGAGGAUAAGUUUUACCCUAAUAACGCAAAAACCCAUCAUACUUCUUGCCGUUUCCCACCUCUGUUAGAUAGGAAGCUCUUCUUCCACCUUGCAACUUCGAUCUCUAUACCUAGGUAGUUGUUGAGAAUAGCAUAUCGGCUCGUUUCCUCCCUCUCUCUCUCUCUCUCUCUCUCUCUCUCUCUCUCUCAUCUUUGAACCCAGAUCUGAUCUCGAUUUAAGAAUUUCCAGGUCUGUUCUUUGAUCCCUUAUCCCAAUUCUCUAUGUUCAGUUUGCUAUUGGAUCUUGAAUUAUCUUUCUUUUCUGUGGUUCUUUGCGGAGGUGAAAGAGAUCUCAGAUGAAAACUUUGAGACGCCAGUAAACAAAAAAAAAAAUCUGAUCUUAGUGAAAUUAGCCGGUCAUGGGUUAUUUGAUUUAUAAUCUGAUCGUCAAUGCCUUUUUGUUUAAAUCCGAACACUUCAACAGAUAGCAGCAACUUAGUUCUUGAUCUCAGGUGUCAUUUGGCAGAAGUUGACAAAAACAGAAAGAGGUUCUGGUCUUCUAGAGAUGCAGCAGAAGAAGGAGAAGAUGAAGAGAAGGGUGGAGAACUGAAGAAUAAAUCCGGAGAUAUAUAUUUUUGUUCAAUCAUGUAUUUUUGUUUGUAUAUUUAUUGGGAGAGGUAUUGGCAUUCAUCCCCCUCUCCCUGCUUGUAUCAUUUCUCGAAUAUAUUGAGAUUUUUACUGAUUAAUUACUAUUA